GUCUCUAGCGGAUGCUAAAUAUCUGGGCCCACUUUUAUUUGUGUAGAUCGAUAUCCUUACUUCAAUGUUCAUGGUCUUACUACAUUGUGCUAGUAAUAUUACAUUGAAGGUAUGUACAAAUUUGUAUACUUAAAUAGUAUGGUAGUAUAAUGCAUUACUAUUUAACAUCUUAGACCGAUUGUGUAAGUAGGAACUUCGAAUGUCAUUCAUGCGAUCAAAGAACUUAGUAACACGAUCGUGUUACCCUGAUACAGUGAUCAGUGGCAUAGCCAUGAUUUUUAAGCGGAUGGGACUGAACACUUUUUUUUGACAGUUUAAGUAAGACAGAAUUUUAAAAUCUACCCUUCACCCCCAACCACCAGAUUAUGCAAGUCUUUAGUUGGUCACGUGUUGAAGUGGUGAUGCUGAGAAUGUAUUUCCAAAGUAUAUGUUGCAAAUAUUAAGAAAAUACAUAAUUUCAAGUGUUAUACAAUUUUUGCUUUAAUAUAAAUACAAGUUUAUAUUAUA
Long non-coding RNA from Sipha flava (yellow sugarcane aphid), 507 nucleotides. RefSeq lists it as uncharacterized. The transcript is spliced from 3 exons. The record is from RefSeq and is a predicted model, not a curated record. NCBI's taxonomy places the organism in Eukaryota, Metazoa, Arthropoda, Insecta, Hemiptera, Aphididae.